UAUUGAAAAAUUUAAUUGUUAAGAAUUUUUAAUUUUUUAUAAAAUAAAUAUGUUAAUUUUAAUUAUUUUAGAUGAAAAAAUUAAAUUUUUUAUAGUUUAUUAGUAUUGUAAAAGAAUUUUUUUAAAUUUUAAGAAGAAAAAUUAGGUGUUUGUACCUCGUGUAUCAGGGUUGAUUAAAUAAAUAUAAAAGAAUUUAGAUUCUCGAAUUUGAAUGAGUUAAAAAUUUAUUUUUUUUAUUGUUAAAUAACUAUUAUAAAUAGGUUUUUCGAAAUGAAAUGUUAUUCGUCUUUAAAUAUAUCUAGUUUUUUUAGAAAUAAAUUUAAUUUAUUUUUAAAGUUUUUUUUUUAUGAUUUUUUAUAUUAAUGAAUUUUAAAAUUUAUAUUUUUAGGGACUAGCUUAAGAAUAAAUUUUUAUAAAUUUUAAAAAAAGUAUUUAAAUGUAGAAUUUGAAAUUUUUUACAUUAUUAAUUUGUUAUAAUUAAUAAAUUUAGUUUAUUUAAUUUUUUUUAUUUUAAAUUUUUUAUAGAAAUUUUUGUUUUAAUAAUUUAAGUAAAAUAAUUAUGAUUAAAUUAGUAUAGUAUAAUUUAUAAAAUAAGAUAUUUUAUAGAUUAAGAAAAAGAAUUAGACAAAUAGAAUUUUUACCUGUUUAUUAAAAACAUGUCUUUUUGAUAAUAAUUUAAAGUCUGACCUGCCCACUGAAAAUUUAAAUGGCUGCGGUAAUUUGACCGUACAAAGGUAGCAUAAUCAUUAGUUUUUUAAUUGAAAGCUGGAAUGAAAGGUUUGAUAAAAAAUUAUUUGUUUCUUUUUAAAUUUGUAGAAUUUUAUUUUUAAAUAAAAAAGUUUAAAUAUUAAUAAAAGACGAGAAGACCCUAUAGAGUUUUAUAUAAAAUUAUAUUUAUAAGUUUUUGAAUUUAAAAUUUAAAUUUGAUUUUAUAUUUAGUUGGGGUGAUUGAAAAAUUUAAUAAACUUUUUUUGUUUAUAACAUUAAUUAGUGAUUUUUUGAUCCAAAAGUUUUGAUUAUAAGAAUAAAUUACCUUAGGGAUAACAGCGUAAUUUUUUUUGAAAGUUCAUAUUUAAAGAAAAGAUUGCGACCUCGAUGUUGGAUUAAAUUUAAUUUUAGGUGAAGAAGCUUGAAAAUUAGGUCUGUUCGACCUUUAAAAAUUUACAUGAUCUGAGUUUAAACCGGUGUGAGCCAGGUUGGUUUCUAUCUUUAUUUAGAUAAAAUAUUUUAGUACGAAAGGACCAAAUAUUUAAUUAAUAAUUUUAAGAUUUGAAUAUUAUU
Molecule: ribosomal RNA, 1281 nt
Filed under: Palaestes abruptus
Lineage: Eukaryota; Metazoa; Arthropoda; Insecta; Coleoptera; Cucujidae
Description: 16S ribosomal RNA
Rfam family: Archaeal large subunit ribosomal RNA (bases 1040-1198)
Source: RNAcentral